Jatropha curcas is the source of this 931-nucleotide long non-coding RNA. RefSeq lists it as uncharacterized. Lineage: Eukaryota; Viridiplantae; Streptophyta; Magnoliopsida; Malpighiales; Euphorbiaceae. The record is from RefSeq and is a predicted model, not a curated record.
AACCCUUUCGUGGGUCCGCAUUAUCUCCUCAUACCCACCAAAGCCCUCCUCUCUCUCUCUCUUUUCCUCUGUGUCGAAAAACAACAAUCUCAUAAAGCAAAAAUAGAGCAUUUUCUCUCUCUCUCUCUCUCUCUCUCUCCGAUCAACUCUAGCUUACCUUGACCCGAAAUUCGAUCCUCGAAGAGAAGCCAUCUCUCAAUCCUUUACUCCUCAUCUCCUGUCUUCAUCGACCAAAUGGUGCAUGAGCUUUGUCGCCUUGUCUCGGAUUCUAAAGUGGAUCUCUCUCGGGUUUUUAGAGCUUCAAUCUACACUCGAAGGUGCAUGCUUGAAAUUCAUUGGUUUAUUUAUUAAAGGACUCACUUGGAUUGGGUCAGAAAGGAAUCGUGGGUCAUGGCAAUUUGAUUCCCACGAUAAUCACCCUUUUGUUAAGAUUUUAUCCUUCAAAACUGAGGUUCAGCCUGAAUUGCUACAACAAGUUUUACUGUUUAUGAUAAAGAGUAGGCGGUUGGGAACGAUGGAAGUUUGUGAAUUCUUAAGAGCUUUUGUGAAUUUUUCCAUUCUGUAGAUGCCCUUUUCGGAUUCAUCAUCAUCUUUGUUUGCAAGGCAAUUAAUAUCAUGUUUGGUAUCAUUUUUUUGUUCCUUUCCUAAUGAAGCAAUUCCAGUUUUUCAGCUUCUCAUGGGCUGCCUCAAAUGUUUACCACAAAAGAAUUCGGAUGUUAGUAUACUUGUCUAAAAAUUGUACUUUUGUUAGUUCCUCUGUAAUCUUGUAGUUAUUAGAUUGUCAUUUAUUCAUAAAAUGCAAAAACUUAGGGACUCUUAUUAUUUUUUGGAAUUAUACAAUGGUUUUGAGACACUUGGUUAGAAUUGAAUUAGUAUGUUUUAAUAACUCUGGCUUAGGCAACCUUUAAUACAAUCACUUGUUCCUUCGUUA